UCUAAAUUUCAGCUGUUAAUGCUGCCUUUGCUGUCAACCAGGUCAAAAAUCCUGCAUAAUUCCCCGUAUCUAUCUCGCUUCCCAGCAGAGAGAAAUGAAACCCCUUCCUGGACCUUGGAUGAGCGUGAGGGAAAGACCCACUUUCUGAAGCCUCUAGGGAGGAACAUGGCCUCAACAGAGGGGGAAGGAGGUACUUAGCACUUACGAAAUGCAAGCUCAGGGCAGGCAGUGAGGAACAUCUACACUUAGAGAAGUCUUUCUGGAAAGCCAGUGGAAAUCAUUUGCUCAAAUAUUAGUGAUUUGUGAGAUAAUCUAUUAUAGAUUAAUCAUUUCAGUCUUAUGGUACAAUGUCAAAAAUAAAUUGGGGUUAUGAAGCUGGAGGGGAGCCACUUGGGGGUCGUGUGUUCUCACUGACGCUCCUUAUUUGACUUUGAAAACAGCGUCAUGAUGAGAUUUUUGAAGCUGAUUGUUACCCCAUGGAAUCCAAAUCACAAGGAGAAGAGAGAUCAGGCACAUCCGUGAAAAGGGUGGCUGGCUGGGAUCACGUCUGUGAAGCAGCACAGUCACCAAGGAGCAGGUCGGAGAAGAAGCAGCACUUCGGUACCCAUGGCAUGAGACGGGGGGCCCCCAGGAGUCAGGCACCCGCUCUGGUUGGUGGGGUACAAACAAAUCCCAUGGAGAACCAAGAUGCUCCCACAAAGCAUAAAAUAUCUCUCCAAGUAAAAAAUCUUCCCUCAAGAUGUUUUAUUCAAGCUUUUUUCUUAAAGAAGGAAGUGGUAAUUUUUCCCUUUAAAUUCUGUUUUCUUUUUCCCCCCCUGGUUUGGUCUCUCCCAUAAACACAGAGGCCAGAAGGCUAUGCUUAAAUAAUUCAUCUACAAAUUUGCAAUAUCUUUUUGAACUAUAGCAAUUAAACGGAAAAUAGAAAAAUCAGCUCAGCAUCCUGUUUGGAUGUAAUUAAAGGUAUAAUCUGUUCCAUUUGAAUACUUCAGUGCUUACCCUUCUUAAAACAACAAAUAAGAAUAGUAGCUCAUUUGCAAUAUGCUUUUUUUUUCAAGUCAGCUAAAAAGACUAACUGAUGAAGCAAGAAUAAUAAUUUUUAAAUGUGGCAUAAGCACAAAAAUACCAACUACAGCUUUCAAAUGAUUGCUGCAGAUCUCAAGUGUGAUGAGAGUUCAGCAACAAGGGAUAGAAGCUUUAUGGCAGAACACUGAAGUCUUCCACUAUUCGGUAUCAACAUCUCGAUAUGGCUGAUAUAAUUACCUAUCAAAUACAUCAGUGGAAUGAAUAUCAGAUGAUAUCCAAAAAUAUGUAAGUGGGAUGCAGAUCAGCUCAGUCUUUUAGGGGCCGUUUGAUCUAAGGUUUUUUCUAAGAAUAAAAGACAAAUACUGCAUUUGUUGCCCCUUUGU
This 1406-nucleotide long non-coding RNA is filed under the name Junco hyemalis (dark-eyed junco). RNAcentral describes it as "lncRNA (ENSJHYG00000002690.1)". The record is from RNAcentral. Lineage: Eukaryota; Metazoa; Chordata; Aves; Passeriformes; Passerellidae.